This is a long non-coding RNA of Rosa chinensis, 870 nucleotides long. RefSeq lists it as uncharacterized. NCBI's taxonomy places the organism in Eukaryota, Viridiplantae, Streptophyta, Magnoliopsida, Rosales, Rosaceae. The transcript has 3 exons. The record is from RefSeq and is a predicted model, not a curated record.
UGUUUAGGUUGUCCAGUUCAACAACUUCAUCCUCCGACCACCUCCAAUUGGUCCACCGGCACCAUCUUCUUCGUCUCAAUGUUGCCAUCACGCUUGAGGUCGUAGUUCAUCCAAUCGUCUAUUGUGGAGGAAGAAUCGAACGCCGAAAGCUUUUGAAGCUUUGGCUAUUCUUUGACUUUUUCCCAUGACUUCAACCACUGUUUGGGGUGUUUAUGCUGUUUAUUGUGGUCGAUAUACGAAAGACGAUCAACUCUUCGUGCUGUACGUGCUAGUAAAGGAAGUAUACAGCUGGUGAUAUAUCUUGCCCGUGCAAGUUGGUGCCAAGGUGGUGUUUGAGACUGAUUCAAAUUCAAAGUAUCAUCUAUCACUCCUAUAAAAGAUACUCUACAUCAAAAAGACGAGGAGGACCAGAGGACGUGAGCAGCAUAGCUGCGUGAGGAGGAUUGUGAAGAAGCAGAGGAUAGCAGCCGAGGAGAGGAAGAAAGAAAAGAAGAGGGUGAGACUUUCAUCAAUCUGCACCUUUCCUUUGCUGUUCUCAAAUGAUGCAGGCCUCCAUCGCCUCCAGCGAUACCGUAGAGUAUCAUAUCAUAUAUGCUCCGACACGGCAUGCCUUAGGGUGCCGAUAUUGUCAUUGAGUUCCUGCACAGCGUGCCGUAUCAUCUUCAAGCUCUGACAUGGCCUGCCUUAGGGGGCCGAUAUUGUCGUCGAUCUCCUGCACGCCGUGCCUUAGGGUGCCGUAUCAUUGUCAAGCUCCGGCGACGCCUUCGGGCACCAUCUUUGCCCUCAAAUUCCAGGGCGCAGGCCUUGGGCUUUCAAAUCCUAGUAGUAGGCCUCCCUAUAUUGUAGCUGCAACAAGCUUUACUCUCUCAA